AUUUAAAUAGCUUAAUAAGAGCAUAAUAUUGAAGAUAUUAAGGUAGUUUAGAACUUUUAAAUA
RNAcentral lists this transfer RNA (63 nucleotides) under Batrisodes sp. 1 EF-2015. RNAcentral's name for it is "tRNA-Phe". Lineage: Eukaryota; Metazoa; Arthropoda; Insecta; Coleoptera; Staphylinidae. The record is from RNAcentral.